UCCAACUUCACUAAAUAACUCUGAGCCUCAACAACGACUGAUUACAAAACUCUUGUAACCAACAAAUAGGAAUCAUAAACUCUGAUCCCUAUAUCUCAACAACUAGGAAUUAUAAACUCUAAUUCAUUUAACUCAAUGACUAGGAAUUAUAAACUCUAAUUCCUAACUACACACACACCUCCCAAGGUAUGCGUUCCCAAAGUCUUUGAGUUUUUCCCAACUCGAAGACUAUCUCCUAAUUCAGUUUAUAACACACUGAAACUAAUAUUACACCAAUAGUUCAAACACAAUGAACAACUCUAAAAAUCGAAGCUAAAACUCUUAGCUGGAUUCUAUACUUAGGACCUGGUUCUUCAAUGUGUUUCUUCAGUGAUUGAAUAGCAUUUCGUGAAGUCAAUUUGUCGAUUGUGCUUUUC
This 416-nucleotide long non-coding RNA is filed under the name Capsicum annuum. RNAcentral describes it as "long non-coding RNA (CANN_LNC000022)". The record is from RNAcentral. Lineage: Eukaryota; Viridiplantae; Streptophyta; Magnoliopsida; Solanales; Solanaceae.